UAUGCAAGUAUAUGGGCUGGCUGCUCAACAACAACAUCCUCUCCAACCUGAUUAACCACCACAACCUUUCUAGGAGGAAUCAACUCGAUGUUCCAAAAGGGGCGAACCAUUGCUGAAAGAUCGCGACCUGGAUUGGAUGAUGAUGCUCUGUAACCUUGCACCCACAAAUACCUCAAUGAAGUCAGUUGCAUCACAGCUUUGGCCAGUGCACCCUCAGUGAAGCAACAGCCCCUCAUUUCUA
RNAcentral lists this unclassified non-coding RNA (241 nucleotides) under Hevea brasiliensis (rubber tree). The record is from RNAcentral. Lineage: Eukaryota; Viridiplantae; Streptophyta; Magnoliopsida; Malpighiales; Euphorbiaceae.